UCAGAGAGAGAGAGUGUUUUACCACUGUUGACUGUCGGCAGUGUCACUGCUCCUUUGAGCUUUUGGCAGUAAAGGCAACUCCACUCACCCGCUCCACACACGCAGCGGUAACACGCUGACUGAACCUCCUCCACUUCAGCUCAAACUCCACUUCAGCGGACUACUUCAACAGGACGGCUGCUUAUCUGCCUUUUCUCUGGUGGUUUCAAGAGCUUUUCAAAAAGUUCAAAUGCUUUUUCCCUCAUCUCUCAUGGACCAGUUUUAACUGAGUAAAAGGGACUUUUUCCCUCCUACAUCUGCAGUUCAGAUGUGUGGAACAUAACAGAUAUGUUUGCUUCAAAUGCUGCAGGACACGGGAUGCACACGACUUUCAGGAUGCUUGAAGGAGAGGUGAAACAGAAUUGAUACUGUUGUUCAAGAUUUGGAGACACGGUGGUACAAAACGCAAGAUUAAAUGCACCAUCAUCAAGGUAUCUCAAUUGCUUUAGAUGUUUCCAGCACCUAGCUAUGUCUCGUUGCUGCUGCUUGUUUCUGAUAUUCAGUUUGAAAAAUUGCAUGCCUUGAUCUCUGAAUACUGAAACAUGGAAACUCUGAUAAACACCACUCUAUCAUACAAUGUGAGCAGCAAUCUAUCAAUCAAUGCGACGCCGGCAGGGAGUGAAGGACAUGGGUUGAAGUCUUUGGAGCUGUUCGUCAUGGUGAUCAUCAUCACCAUUAUCGUCGUAGGUAACCUUCUGGUCAUCAUCGCUAUCGCACGCACCUCCCAGCUGCAGACCACGACGAAUAUCUUCAUCAUGUCGCUGGCAUGUGCUGACCUCAUAAUGGGGGUGCUGGUGGUGCCACCAGGCGCCACGAUAGUCGUAACGGGGGAAUGGCAACUCAAUAAGACUUUGUGCGAGUUAUGGACAUCGGUUGAUGUGUUAUGCGUAACCGCCAGCAUAGAGACCCUUUGCAUCAUCGCGGUGGAUCGGUAUAUUGCAAUCACGCGGCCUCUGCGGUAUAAACUGCUUCUGAAUAAGUGCAGGGCUCGAAUUAUCGUUUGUGUCGUGUGGCUGGUCUCGGCUCUAAUCUCCUUCGUCCCCAUUAUGAAUCAGUACUAUCGUGCGGAGGAUAAGGAAGCAAAAAAGUGUUACGAUAACCCCACGUGCUGUGAUUUAGAAAUAAACAUGCACUUUGCUAUCGUUUCAUCAGUGGUUUCGUUCUACAUCCCACUCCUCAUCAUGAUUUUCGUCUACGCACGCGUCUUUCUCAUUGCCACACGACAGGUACAGCUCAUCGACAAGAACCGUUUGAGAUUCCAAAAUGAGUGCAUGGGAAAUCAGGUACUGCCGACGCUCCACGGCAACAACAACUUACCUACGACGUGCAAUAAUGUAGGAGGAACAACGGUAAGGCGCAAAAGUUCCCGAAGGCGACCAUCGAGAUUAACCGUUGUCAAGGAGCACAAGGCCCUCAAGACGCUGGGCAUCAUCAUGGGCGUCUUCACACUCUGUUGGUUGCCUUUCUUCGUGGUGAACAUCAUUAAGGUCUUCAAUCGAAACUUGCUGGACUUGAACGUUUUUCGUUUCUUAAACUGGUUAGGCUACAUCAACUCUGGCCUCAACCCCAUCAUCUACUGCCGAAGCCCAGAGUUUCGUGCGGCCUUCAAGAACCUUCUUGGCUGUCCCUGGAUACCCUCUCUGAAAAUGAACUUCCUUUACAAGGGGCUUCGGACUCGAUGCCCCUGCUUCUUGGGGUCGGCGGAGCCAGGAAUGUCUGGAUCGUUCCAGACGCCCCCCAUAUCGCAAGAGACACUGCCUGAGGACGGCAGCAGCCAGAGCAGCUACAGGAGCGAGGAGCCAUCGCCAGGACCACCGCACUCCAACGGAAGCACCUUCUUCAGUGAAUUCUCCGAAGCCGAGGCAGAGUUGAGGGAUGAAGACCUGUGAGAAGUGCGUCAAGGUUGAUCCGGGCAGUGUUGAAGUUGCCUCCGAUUACUGAGCAAUUGGACGCGUACAACAUUUCACUUAAAAAUGAACAACUUGUUAUGGUACUGCUUACGGUGGAAUGUGAAACAGCCAGGUGAAGUUUGUGCAGGGAGAAAAAAAUACAAGGCUUAGGCUCAUAAUUGCUCGUGUUUAUAGCUGGAAUACACAGAAACAAGCGGGCCGGUCAAAUCUAAUGCAGAUGAAGCUUCCUCGGGGGAGCGACAACACUUAAUGUUCUUGAGGGAAACUGGCAUGAGGAAGAAUUUUUGCUUUGGUUUGAACAUUUUGGCAUUAUCUUUAAAAGAACGUGUGUCAGAAGAAAAGUAUGAGGAAUGGAACAGGACACAAGCUCUGAUAUGAAAGAGAAACCAUGUGCUCUAAAUCUGGCCUUUUCUCUUAAAUGCUCAAGAGAAGUGACCAUCUGUAAAGAAGCACAAUUGCCCUUUUGUUUAUUUUCAUUGGACUUUAAAUUGUUGAUAAUAGUUAAGUAACUUCUUUAUAAUAAAAGUAUUUUUAACUGUACAAUUACUUCAGAGAGAAAAAUAUGAAAAGUAAACACUAAUAUACAAAAGAUGCUGUAUAUCAUCAUGAAAUAUACAGAUAUCCAUGUUAAAAUUAGCCAUGACACCAGACUACACAGUCUACAUAUUUAAAUAUAUUUUUUGUGUCACUUCAAUGAAAAGCAGAAAAAAAAAAAUCAUGCUGCAUUCUCUAGAAAUCAAAAAUGAGAGUAAGAAAAAAAGACACAAUGUCAAAUAAUGUUCUCUUAUUUGAUUACAGACCUCAAUUUCUUCAUCCAGACCAAAAUUAUAGUUAAUCGAACAUUGUCCACAGGAACAAACACUUCAGCAUUGUUUUGUUUUCUAAUGCAUUUGCACAAGUCAGAUUUACUGUGUGAUACGAUAAUUGUGGGGUUUUAUCCAGAUAGUAUGGUAGCUAUUUUAACGACCCACUGCAAGACGCCAAUUGUAAAGUAGUUGUGUUUUUGUGUUUUUUCAAUUGUAUAAAUUCUGCUCCUGCAACACAGGAACUAACUACUUAAACUACACUACAUAUUUCCUAACGUAAACGAAAAAAUAAAUAAAUAAAAAAAUACAUUUUUGGUGUCAAAAUACAUUUUUGGUAACCAUGUCUCAGAUAAUAAUAACAAAAAUCAACAUAGGAUUUUGAAUUCACUAAAAUUACUAAAACUGGAUACUGCUCUGUUUAUAGAGGCUUUUCAGGAAAGGUUUUUCCUAGAAGGGGGGAGACACACUUGACUAUCACAGUACAGGGUUUACAGCAGCUGUUACAGGGGUCUGGGCGGGCAAGCCCUGGAGACAUUUCCUAGCCACAAUGAAGUGGAAACAAUGCACACGCAUACACAUUUUACAUCCAAACACAGUCAUGUGCGCCAGACACUUCAGCAGAAACAAUUUUUUAAUCUUGGGUUUUGUGGAAAUAAUAAAAGAGCACCAUGUCAGCUUUCUCUCUUUCAAAAAACAAAAAAGACCAAAAAAUUGGUAAAAUUACAUAUCUGUUGGUUCAAUAUAUACAGUACCACUAUAAAUAGAAGGCACUUUUAUUGUGCAUUACAGAUUUACAUCAAACCAUACAAGCCAACUGAAUUGUAAGAUUCAAUUUUUACAAGCAUUAUUGUUAAGUCUUUAUAUGUAAUUUCAAAUUAUAACGUAAGAGACUUAACUGAUCUUGCUCUAUUUAAAAAAUAAAGGUUUUUAAAUUUUAUUUUACAAAUGUAAAACUCAUAUUUCUUGAUGACAUUAAGUUUGAGCUGCUGAAUCCACAGCAGACUUCAUGUAAGGAGAAAAAUCUUGUGGUGGAAACCGAAAGACAGAAGCGGAGAGAAAAGAACAACUCAGAAUCCAGUCAUUCUAUGCGACUUUAAUCUCCAAAUGCUUAAAGCAGCAAGUUCAUGGGUGUCAGGUAGCCCAUUUCAACAAACAAGACACAUUAUUCAGCGUAUAGCUCACCAACUUACAUUGAGUAAAAUUUGAUCAGCCCUGUGAUGUCUGAAGGCCUUUUACGUAAACUGUGUACUUUGCUUUUCGUACACCGUGACCAGGUCUCGAGUGAGAUUCAUUAAACACGAGGCAGCUCGAACAUUAUGUCUAGCACAAUGUAAUAAGACAAAAUGAGCAUUUUGAGUAUUUUUAGUGCAGCGUAUUAUGAAAGUUGCUCUUGUAGACAUACAGUAAUUCAAAUAAUGACAGAUGGGAGAUAAUGGUAGUGUGUUUUGUUUAACGGGAAGUCAACAUUUUGCCGCUCUGUGCUGCUGAUGGGUACAUUUUGUGUUGCUGGCAGAAACACGUAAAUGAAGCCACAAUGAUUGCUUUGUGUUUCAGAGUACACUGAGAAAGGGUUGAAAUGCUGUUUAUGUGUAUUGAUUAACCCUCCAUGCGAAAGAGCACUUGUUGCAAUUGUUUUCUGUGAACAAGCAUGCAUUUUUCAUGCAAUAUGAAUUUUGGAAGCGUGAUGUCAAUUGUAUAUAACUGCUGUAGAAACUAAAUAUAGAUUGAUUGUUGCUUGUAAAUUUGUUGCUACCACUGAAUUAACUUGUAUGGGUGAGAAUGAGGUUUCUGUAGUGUUGUUGGCAAGUUUUGGCCCCUCUGUUGCUUCUCCGACACCCCUAGGAGCUGAUAAACUUUAUCACUGAAAUGCAACACUUCCGCCUUUGAGGAGAAGCUGUUUACGACCUAAACAGAGCAAGCGCAGUGAAUGCUCAACACGAGGGCAAGAUCUUGCAAGCAAACUGUAACCUACAGGGGCAGGAUGGCUGAAAGUCUCUAGCACAGCUGAAAGAAAAGGACGCUGAGGAAGAAGCAGGCAAAAAGUACUGACCUACGUCACAGUUGGCUGGCCUUCCCCAGCAGAGACCACAAGGGC
RNA transcript from Onychostoma macrolepis, 4850 nucleotides. It is a transcript of the gene named adrenoceptor beta 3a, with no coding region annotated. The record is from RefSeq and is a predicted model, not a curated record. Lineage: Eukaryota; Metazoa; Chordata; Actinopteri; Cypriniformes; Cyprinidae. The transcript is spliced from 3 exons.